Molecule: non-coding RNA, 73 nt
Filed under: unclassified sequences
Description: c-di-GMP sequence
Rfam family: c-di-GMP-I-GGC riboswitch aptamer
Source: Rfam by way of RNAcentral
CAAGAUAAAGCCAAACCUGCCGUGAGACAGGGCGGGAAGCAACGGGUCUCAAUAGAUAGCCGAGUUGCCUCUU